RNAcentral lists this unclassified non-coding RNA (380 nucleotides) under uncultured Gemmatimonadaceae bacterium. RNAcentral's name for it is "contains 16S-23S intergenic spacer region". Lineage: Bacteria; Pseudomonadati; Gemmatimonadota; Gemmatimonadia; Gemmatimonadales; Gemmatimonadaceae. The record is from RNAcentral.
UCCGGUUUGGCACCGGCAGUCCCCCCAGAGUCCCCGGCUUAACCCGCUGGCAACUGGGGGCGGGGGUUGCGCUCGUCGCGGGACUUAACCCAACAUCUCACGACACGAGCUGACGACAGCCAUGCAGCACCUGUGCUUAAGCUCCGAAGAGGGGCCGGCGUUUCUGCCGGCUUACUUAAGCAUGUCAAGCCCAGGUAAGGUUCUUCGCGUUGCGUCGAAUUAAACCACAUGCUCCACCGCUUGUGCGGGCCCCCGUCAAUUCCUUUGAGUUUCAGCCUUGCGGCCGUACUCCCCAGGCGGGGCACUUAAUGCGUUAGCGCCGGCACCCGGGGGGUCGCUCCCCCGGGCACCUAGUGCCCAUCGUUUACAGCGUGGACUAC